UGUUUGUGUGUAGUUGUGGUCUGCACUGCAUGUAGCGUCACGGUUCAUUUAUUUGCGUUUUUGUGCUCUAAGUUUCUCUUCUAAAUAAAGGAUGGAAACAUACCACGCUGCGCCUUGGUCCAAUCUUUAUGACGAGUGUGACAGUCAACUGUUUCUAUAAUUUUGUGAACUGUUUCUGAAGGUGAUUGAUGUUGGCGAUGAUAUGGUGAAACUCCAAUACACAACAGCCAGCGCUGUGAAAGAGAAAGAGGGUAAACUACUCUGCCAGCCAGAGGUGCUUUGUGACGUCCCAAAAUCUACUACCCAGGAUAAAUUAUGACUUCAAUGGCAAGAAGUGCAGAUUUGUCUACAUGACUUGUGUUGCAAUGUCAGCAGUGGCAACUAAGAUCAUGAAGUUGGACACUGAGACAAUGGAGAGAGGAGAACUGCUGGCCAUCAGAGCCUGUGUUCAUUCCAAGACCCAACGGAGAAGGAGAGG
Molecule: non-coding RNA, 478 nt
Organism: Salvelinus sp. IW2-2015
Lineage: Eukaryota; Metazoa; Chordata; Actinopteri; Salmoniformes; Salmonidae
Source: RefSeq, a predicted model, not a curated record